GGUCCCGUAGUGUAGCGGUUAUCACGUCGCCCUGUCACGGUCGUAGAUCGCGGGUUCGAUUCCCGUCGGGACCG
This 74-nucleotide transfer RNA is filed under the name Streptococcus pneumoniae GA47688. Its description in RNAcentral is "tRNA-Asp". It matches the Rfam family "tRNA". From Rfam's summary of the family: Transfer RNA (tRNA) molecules are approximately 80 nucleotides in length. Their secondary structure includes four short double-helical elements and three loops (D, anti-codon, and T loops). Further hydrogen bonds mediate the characteristic L-shaped molecular structure. tRNAs have two regions of fundamental functional importance: the anti-codon, which is responsible for specific mRNA codon recognition, and the 3' end, to which the tRNAs corresponding amino acid is attached (by aminoacyl-tRNA synthetases). tRNAs cope with the degeneracy of the genetic code in two manners: having more than one tRNA (with a specific anti-codon) for a particular amino acid; and 'wobble' base-pairing, i.e. permitting non-standard base-pairing at the 3rd anti-codon position. Lineage: Bacteria; Bacillati; Bacillota; Bacilli; Lactobacillales; Streptococcaceae. The record is from RNAcentral.